Molecule: ribosomal RNA, 468 nt
Filed under: uncultured bacterium
Lineage: Bacteria
Description: partial 16S ribosomal RNA
Rfam family: Bacterial small subunit ribosomal RNA
Source: RNAcentral
GACGAACGCUGGCGGCGUGCUUUACACAUGCAAGUCGAACGGAAAGGCCCUGCUUUUGUGGGGUGCUCGAGUGGCGAACGGGUGAGUAACACGUGAGUAACCUGCCCUUGACUUUGGGAUAACUUCAGGAAACUGGGGCUAAUACCGGAUAGGAGCUCCUGCUGCAUGGUGGGGGUUGGAAAGUUUCGGCGGUUGGGGAUGGACUCGCGGCUUAUCAGCUUGUUGGUGGGGUAGUGGCUUACCAAGGCUUUGACGGGUAGCCGGCCUGAGAGGGUGACCGGCCACAUUGGGACUGAGAUACGGCCCAGACUCCUACGGGAGGCAGCAGUGGGGAAUAUUGCACAAUGGGCGGAAGCCUGAUGCAGCGACGCCGCGUGCGGGAUGACGGCCUUCGGGUUGUAAACCGCUUUCGCCUGUGACGAAGCGUGAGUGACGGUAAUGGGUAAAGAAGCACCGGCUAACUACGUG